CCUACGGGAGGCAGCAGUGGGGAAUCUUGCGCAAUGGGGGCAACCCUGACGCAGCCAUGCCGCGUGAAUGAUGAAGGCCUUAGGGUUGUAAAGUUCUUUUGCCCGUGACGAUGAUGACGGUAACGGGAGAAUAAGCUCCGGCUAACUUCGUGCCAGCAGCCGCGGUAAUACGAAGGGGGCUAGCGUUGUUCGGAAUUACUGGGCGUAAAGCGCGCGCAGGCGGUUCGAUAAGUUAGGGGUGAAAUCCCUGGGCUCAACCCAGGAAUGGCCUUUAAGACUGUCGAGCUAGAGGACGAGAGAGGUGAGUGGAAUUCCCAGUGUAGAGGUGAAAUUCGUAGAUAUUGGGAAGAACACCGGUGGCGAAGGCGGCAUACUGGAUCAUUACUGACGCUGAGGCUCGAAAGCGUGGGGAGCAAACAGGAUUAGAUACCCUGGUAGUCCACGCCGUAAACGAUGAUUGCUAGUUGUCGGGAUGUUUACAUCUCGGUGACGCAGCUAACGCAUUAAGCAAUCCGCCUGGGGAGUACGGUCGCAAGAUUAAAACUUAAAUGAAUUGACGGNNGAGAGNGCGAGACGACACGAGGAGAG
RNAcentral lists this ribosomal RNA (588 nucleotides) under uncultured bacterium. Its description in RNAcentral is "bacterial SSU rRNA". It matches the Rfam family "Bacterial small subunit ribosomal RNA", at positions 338 to 944 of the family's 1533-position model. The record is from RNAcentral.